RNAcentral lists this ribosomal RNA (301 nucleotides) under uncultured bacterium. RNAcentral's name for it is "partial 16S ribosomal RNA". It matches the Rfam family "Bacterial small subunit ribosomal RNA", at positions 509 to 807 of the family's 1533-position model. The record is from RNAcentral.
CAGUCGCCACGGGAAUACAGAGGAUGCAAGCGUUAUACGGAAUGAUUGGGUGUAAAGGGUGUGCAGACGGCUUAUUAAGUCACUUGUUAAAUUCUUCGGCCUAACUGAAGGUCUGCAAGUGAUACUGAUGAGCUAGAGGGUGGAAGAGAGAAGUGGAAUUCUCGGAGUAGCGGUAAAAUGCGUAGAUCUCGAGAGGAACACCAAUGGCGAAGGCAGCUUCUUGGUCCAUUCCUGACGUUCAUACACGAAAGCGUGGGGAGCAAACAGGAUUAGAUACCCCUGUAGUCCCUGUCUCUUAUAC